RNAcentral lists this microRNA (20 nucleotides) under Corchorus olitorius. Its description in RNAcentral is "bta-miR-24". The record is from RNAcentral. Lineage: Eukaryota; Viridiplantae; Streptophyta; Magnoliopsida; Malvales; Malvaceae.
AUGUUGAUCUAAUUCCCUCU